GAUGGUGGGCCCAUCGCAGGAGAUGACAGGCAUAUCCUGCAAACCACCUUGUGGUGCUUUGCUACGAAAGUACAAGGUGCUGAGCGACAAGGAAAAGGCAGACUGGAUCUGUCAGGU
Molecule: non-coding RNA, 117 nt
Filed under: Dyadobacter jejuensis
Lineage: Bacteria; Pseudomonadati; Bacteroidota; Cytophagia; Cytophagales; Spirosomataceae
Source: RNAcentral